CCCACUGGUGCAAUGGAUCCUGGGCUGACCCAGGCGCCUCUCCCAUCACAGGCUGUCCCCCUCUCCAAGGCUCCUGCUGACGAGCCACGGCCCCUGUCAGGACUGCACGGCUCCCUCCAUCCCCAGCACCACUUCUUCCUGGUAGCCCGCCCGGUGGCUUCCACGGACACGCAGGAGAGGAGACUACUCCUCCCAAGAGGCCACAAGGUUGGCACAGCCUGAGGACAGCAUGGUCCACCAGCCAGAGCACAGGUCAACGCGGAAACGCCGACACCCCAGCUGCCGGCCAGCUCAGCAAAGUGCUGUUUCCAGCCCGACUCCUGGGCUCCCAGCACCCCUGCCCAGGGCCUGCUCCCCAGCCCUCACUGACCACUGCCCUGAGCUCUGGGCAGGGCUGCUCUCCCUGGCCCCUGACCAGCCAGGUCCCACCUGAGCACAGGGAGGAGUGGGACUUGGGGCUCCUUAGGAGACAGUGGGAUAGGACAGGAGUUACUCAGCAUCUCCAGAACUCGGGCCAGGGAGGCGUACUUGACUCUUCUCAGCCAGGAGGGCUGCAGCGGCUCAGAGGUCCCCCUGUCGGCCCUGCCGCCUUCCCGCCCCCAGCCCCCCAGGGCUCUGUCCAGGAACCUACCCAUAAGGCCAGGUGCAGCCCCUCCGAGGUCCGGCUCAGGUGUGAGCCCCGGCCCUGGAGCUCUGAGCUCUGCGCUGUCCGGAGCGAGCGGGGAGCCCCCAGGGGCACCGCCGGAAGGAGGGCGUUCGGGCCCGGACCGCUCUCUAUCCAGGUACAGAGGAGCAAUGGCACCUGCCCUGCCAGGCCCUGGAAACCCAGCACCACUUAAGGACCACCUAACGCCCUAGGUGCCUGGCCUCCUGCCACCGUCAGCAGGAACACGUUGGCCCGAACCGGUGCUGACGGGGCGCAGUCGAGAGAUGUGCUGUGAAGGACAACCCACCAUCUCUCCUGGGGCUCAGCACCCUUCCGAGCCAGCAAACACCAAGAAAGAGGAAGGAGGACUCCAAAUCAGAACACCUUCUCCAAAUAAUUCUUGGGGAAUACGGACCACCCUUUCACAACUCCAAGUGAGACCCAGAAUCCACACAGCAUGAAGGAGCCAUUCGAGAAAAACACAGGCCCUUCUCUCUCCCAGCCCCUCUCUCCACCCAGUCACAGGAUCUGUUUGGUACAGUUUUUCAGGAGAGUCCCUGAGAACCCCAAGUUUAUGCCUCUUGCCUGCUCCCACCCUUUAUACGACACAGUAGACUUCCUAGGCUGCCUCUCUCCCCGAUGCCUCCCCGGCACCUGGGCCCCGUCAACAAGGCCGCUUCACAGGCCUCACCACAGGCCUCCUCUCAAACCUGAUCUGGCUCGCCUGGCUUUCUAGUAAGUAACUGACACUCCAUCUCACGCCCCUCCUUUUCCAUUAGACUAGAUGGCUAAACACCUUCACCUCUACACUCUGCUGGUCUUGGAACUUCUUCAGCCAGGACUCAAAGUGUCAGAUCGGGCCACAGCCAUCAGCUUCACUUUCUCGGCCAACUUACAGUAGCCUCUCUCACUCAGCUCCCAUCUUAAGCAAAAAAAAAAAAAAGCCCGAACUCAGAGCUAUCCCCUCGCCAUCCUAGGGUGCGACCCCUCUCUUGUAGCUGCCAGACAGGAGAGGCCGCCCUUUUCUAGCCUCUCAGGGAUGCCUGCCUUUGUGCUCUGUGGGCAGAGGCAAACCCCAAAGCAGAAAAGACGCCACAACCUAGGGCGAGAGUGCCUUUAGCAGAAGAUCAGGGAACAAACCAGGAGAGUCUUCAAGGAUCCUCAGGUCCCAUAUGUCCCCUGCCUUCCAGAGUGACCCACCCAGCAUGAUCACCAGGACAGGUCUCGUGACUGAGAUAAAGAUUCAGUCAACCUGAAAAAGCAGAGUCUCCUGAAACAGUCAGGUUCUCGGACAUGUUAGGAGAGGGGCGUGGAAAGGAGGACUCCUGGACGAAAAGAAGAUCCGGUGUGUGUCGAGAGCCUGAAAGAAGUGUUGGAGGGGGAGGGUCCAGCCAGCACGGCCGAAGGAGAGGCAGGCCGAAGGCGGUGGUGACCCGCUAGGCCUGAUGAGAAUGCUGCUCAAGGGCACCUGGUGCGCUCAGCCCCGAGCCUGUAUCCAUCAAGCAAACUUCUGAUUUUAAUUACAUUUUCCAGUGACUCAGAUACCAGUCAACUGCCAGAACACAGCAGGACAAGUACGAGGACCUGUGUGGCAAGAAUGUGCCCUGUGAUGAGUUGGGAAAUUUACCAUUCUGGUACACGUCACUCUCCGUGUUUCCCAAGAGUGUGAUCAUGAUGUGCUGUUAAUCAUGACUCUCCAACUCACAGAGUUAAGAUGAGACCCAAGGCCGAGAUUCCCUGCCUCCCACCCCACACCGAAGGGCGGUCACUUGCACAGACAGGUCCAGGUGGGAAUGCCAUGCCAGCCUGGCUGGUUUCAACUCCAAGUUCAGCAUUCAGCUCAUGCUCUGUCAAAAUCCAGGGCCUACAGGACGAAGGGAGGUUAUCUUGUUUCCAUCAAACAGGACAUUUACCACCUGAGACCCUUUCCUCAAAAUCAGAGAAGCCACAAUCCCCAGGAAGCCAUCUGCCAAGUCGCACGUUGGGAAGACACUCUGUUCCGCCACACCAACGCUCCCGCUGACCUCCAGGCCAGGAGGCCUCAUCCAGACAAAAGAGCACGAGGUGAAUAUGGACGUCUAUUCGGAUCCGGUCCUCCCACCUACAGCUCAACAGCCUCAGGGCUACACUCAUGCCCUCUGACUGCCUGCUAAUGACAUCAAUACUGCGUGGCACUCCAGGCCCCCACAAUCCGCAGGCAGCACUUACGUCAUGCACCCCACACUCUGUCUGCCUACUUGCUAGUCCCCAAAUGUGUGUGGGGGGUUGGUGCCUUUGCUCAUGCUUUCCUUGCCCUUCCCCUUCCCCUCCCACCAGCCCAAAUCCUACCUCCCCAUCCUUCUGGCCCAGUUCACCAAUUAUGUCCGCCAUGAAAGUUUCUGUAGACUUGAACUGUCCAAGAAGGUAGCCCCUGGCUGCAUGUGCUAUUUAAAUUAAACACAAAUAGCCCUGGCUGGUGUGGCCCAGUGCAUUGAGCGCCAGAGUGCAAAGUGAAAAGUCGCUAGUUCGAUUCCCAGUCAGAGCACAUGCCUGGGUUUCGGGCCAGGUCCCCAGUAGGGGCACACGAGAGGCAGCCACACACUGACAUUUCUCUCUCUUUCUCCUUGCCUUCCCUUCUCUCAAAGUAAAUAAAUAAAAUC
This is a long non-coding RNA of Artibeus jamaicensis (Jamaican fruit-eating bat), 3285 nucleotides long. RefSeq lists it as uncharacterized. Lineage: Eukaryota; Metazoa; Chordata; Mammalia; Chiroptera; Phyllostomidae. The record is from RefSeq and is a predicted model, not a curated record. The transcript has 3 exons.